CCUUGUACACACCGCCCGUCACACCAUGGGAGUGGGUUGCUCCAGAAGGCGUUAGCCUAACCGCAAGGGGGACGACGCCCACGGAGUGGUCCAUGACUGGGGUG
This 104-nucleotide ribosomal RNA is filed under the name uncultured bacterium. Its description in RNAcentral is "partial 16S ribosomal RNA". It matches the Rfam family "Bacterial small subunit ribosomal RNA", at positions 1379 to 1482 of the family's 1533-position model. The record is from RNAcentral.